This 475-nucleotide ribosomal RNA is filed under the name uncultured bacterium. RNAcentral's name for it is "bacterial SSU rRNA". It matches the Rfam family "Bacterial small subunit ribosomal RNA", at positions 335 to 802 of the family's 1533-position model. The record is from RNAcentral.
ACUCCUACGGGAGGCAGCAGUGGGGAAUAUUGCACAAUGGGGGAAACCCUGAUGCAGCCAUGCCGCGUGUGUGAAGAAGGCCUUCGGGUUGUAAAGCACUUUCAGUAGGGAGGAAGGUAGUGUAGUUAACACCUGCAUUAUUUGACGUUACCUACAGAAGAAGCACCGGCUAACUACGUGCCAGCAGCCGCGGUAAUACGUAGGGUGCGAGCGUUGUCCGGAAUUACUGGGCGUAAAGGGCUCGUAGGUGGUUUGUCGCGUCGUCUGUGAAAUUCCGGGGCUUAACUCCGGGCGUGCAGGCGAUACGGGCAUAACUUGAGUACUGUAGGGGUAACUGGAAUUCCUGGUGUAGCGGUGAAAUGCGCAGAUAUCAGGAGGAACACCGAUGGCGAAGGCAGGUUACUGGGCAGUUACUGACGCUGAGGAGCGAAAGCAUGGGUAGCGAACAGGAUUAGAUACCCUGGUAGGAUAGCGU